ACUCAAAUGAAUUGACGGGGACCCGCACAACCAGUGGAGCGUGUGGUUUAAUUCGAGACGAAACGAAGGACCUCACCAGGGUUUGACAUGCUAUCGUUUAUUUUCCUGGAAACAGGGAGAAAUCCGCAAGGAUGAUAGCACAGGUGCUGCAUGGCUGUCGUCAGCUCGUGCCGUGAGGUGUUCCCUUAAGUGGGGAAACGAGCGCAACCCGCAUCUAAUGUUAAAAUAUUCAUUAGAAACUGACUUUGUUCAAACAAGGAAGGAAGGAGCGGAAGACGUCAAGUCAGCACGGCCCUUAUACCCUGGGCCACACACACACUACAAUGGCGAAAAACAACGAGCCGCAAGCUAGCAAUAGCAAGCAAAUCUCUCAAAUUUCGCCUCAGUUCAGAUUGGGGUCUGAAACCCGACCCCAUGAAGCCGGAAUUGGUAGUAAUCGCGGAUCAGCAUGCCGCGGUGAAUACGUUCUCGGGUCUUGUACACACCGCCCGU
RNAcentral lists this ribosomal RNA (492 nucleotides) under uncultured bacterium. RNAcentral describes it as "partial 16S ribosomal RNA". It matches the Rfam family "Bacterial small subunit ribosomal RNA", at positions 899 to 1397 of the family's 1533-position model. The record is from RNAcentral.